UUGAAGAGUUUGAUCAUGGCUCAGAUUGAACGCUGGCGGCAGGCCUAACACAUGCAAGUCGAGCGGUAGCACAGAGAGCUUGCUCUCGGGUGACGAGCGGCGGACGGGUGAGUAAUGUCUGGGAAACUGCCUGAUGGAGGGGGAUAACUACUGGAAACGGUAGCUAAUACCGCAUAAUGUCGCAAGACCAAAGUGGGGGACCUUCGGGCCUCAUGCCAUCAGAUGUGCCCAGAUGGGAUUAGCUAGUAGGUGGGGUAACGGCUCACCUAGGCGACGAUCCCUAGCUGGUCUGAGAGGAUGACCAGCCACACUGGAACUGAGACACGGUCCAGACUCCUACGGGAGGCAGCAGUGGGGAAUAUUGCACAAUGGGCGCAAGCCUGAUGCAGCCAUGCCGCGUGUGUGAAGAAGGCCUUCGGGUUGUAAAGCACUUUCAGCGGGGAGGAAGGCGGUGAGGUUAAUAACCUCAUCGAUUGACGUUACCCGCAGAAGAAGCACCGGCUAACUCCGUGCCAGCAGCCGCGGUAAUACGGAGGGUGCAAGCGUUAAUCGGAAUUACUGGGCGUAAAGCGCACGCAGGCGGUCUGUCAAGUCGGAUGUGAAAUCCCCGGGCUCAACCUGGGAACUGCAUUCGAAACUGGCAGGCUAGAGUCUUGUAGAGGGGGGUAGAAUUCCAGGUGUAGCGGUGAAAUGCGUAGAGAUCUGGAGGAAUACCGGUGGCGAAGGCGGCCCCCUGGACAAAGACUGACGCUCAGGUGCGAAAGCGUGGGGAGCAAACAGGAUUAGAUACCCUGGUAGUCCACGCCGUAAACGAUGUCGAUUUGGAGGUUGUGCCCUUGAGGCGUGGCUUCCGGAGCUAACGCGUUAAAUCGACCGCCUGGGGAGUACGGCCGCAAGGUUAAAACUCAAAUGAAUUGACGGGGGCCCGCACAAGCGGUGGAGCAUGUGGUUUAAUUCGAUGCAACGCGAAGAACCUUACCUGGUCUUGACAUCCACAGAACUUUCCAGAGAUGGAUUGGUGCCUUCGGGAACUGUGAGACAGGUGCUGCAUGGCUGUCGUCAGCUCGUGUUGUGAAAUGUUGGGUUAAGUCCCGCAACGAGCGCAACCCUUAUCCUUUGUUGCCAGCGGUCCGGCCGGGAACUCAAAGGAGACUGCCAGUGAUAAACUGGAGGAAGGUGGGGAUGACGUCAAGUCAUCAUGGCCCUUACGACCAGGGCUACACACGUGCUACAAUGGCAUAUACAAAGAGAAGCGACCUCGCGAGAGCAAGCGGACCUCAUAAAGUAUGUCGUAGUCCGGAUUGGAGUCUGCAACUCGACUCCAUGAAGUCGGAAUCGCUAGUAAUCGUAGAUCAGAAUGCUACGGUGAAUACGUUCCCGGGCCUUGUACACACCGCCCGUCACACCAUGGGAGUGGGUUGCAAAAGAAGUAGGUAGCUUAACCUUCGGGAGGGCGCUUACCACUUUGUGAUUCAUGACUGGGGUGAAGUCGUAACAAGGUAACCGUAGGGGAACCUGCGGUUGGAUCACCUCCUU
Molecule: ribosomal RNA, 1536 nt
Filed under: Klebsiella pneumoniae
Lineage: Bacteria; Pseudomonadati; Pseudomonadota; Gammaproteobacteria; Enterobacterales; Enterobacteriaceae
Also listed under: 1 other name
Description: bacterial SSU rRNA
Rfam family: Bacterial small subunit ribosomal RNA
Source: RNAcentral